This 64-nucleotide microRNA precursor is filed under the name Callorhinchus milii (elephant shark). RNAcentral's name for it is "Cmi-Mir-27-P2_pre stem-loop". It matches the Rfam family "mir-27 microRNA precursor family", at positions 9 to 74 of the family's 80-position model. The record is from RNAcentral. Lineage: Eukaryota; Metazoa; Chordata; Chondrichthyes; Chimaeriformes; Callorhinchidae.
CAGAGCUUAGCUGAUUGGUGAACAGUGAUUGUUGUUGCUUUGUUCACAGUGGCUAAGUUCUGCA